CUGGAGAGGUCUCACCUCUCACCGAGAUGCACUCAGGGCCUAUCAGCAUUUUGAAUAUGUCAUCCACUGCUUUGGCCUCCAUUGUUUCUGAUGAAAAGUCGUGCUUGCCUGGAAUAGAACUUCUGCAACACAGAGCUGGGGCAAAGAAGGAUGAGAAACGUUGGUGGCUUCCUUGCCCUGGGGAGAUACUGUAGCUCUUCAGUGGGAACUCAGGGAAGUGGGAGCCUCAUGUUUUUGGAUUUACCUGCUUGGAGUAGAGCAUCUGUCACAUUGAGUUGAAGUGGGGUGGGGAGGGAGCGUGUCACGGCCCAGAUACUAUAGACACCCACUGUUCUUACCAAGAUUUAGUAGAUUUUUAAAUAAAUGUUUCUUCAUUUCA
Diceros bicornis minor is the source of this 379-nucleotide long non-coding RNA. RefSeq lists it as uncharacterized. The transcript has 2 exons. The record is from RefSeq and is a predicted model, not a curated record. Lineage: Eukaryota; Metazoa; Chordata; Mammalia; Perissodactyla; Rhinocerotidae.